CUUAGCCGGGGUAUGCCAAUCCACUUUUAUGGUAUAUCCACGGACAAAAAAGGAGGAAUCAUCAACCCGCAGACUUGCGGUGCGGUAUUGUGGAGACAUAUCGCAAUGCGGCGGCCAGGCCCGGCUGCCGUGAGGGUGCGCGCGCGGAGGCGGCGCAGUCAGAGUCGAAAAACAUGGCA
This 179-nucleotide non-coding RNA is filed under the name unclassified sequences. RNAcentral describes it as "malK-I RNA". It matches the Rfam family "malK-I RNA". The record is from RNAcentral.